This 344-nucleotide ribosomal RNA is filed under the name Deltaproteobacteria bacterium. RNAcentral's name for it is "bacterial SSU rRNA". It matches the Rfam family "Bacterial small subunit ribosomal RNA", at positions 1 to 335 of the family's 1533-position model. The record is from RNAcentral. Lineage: Bacteria; Pseudomonadati; Myxococcota; Myxococcia.
UAAUUGGAGAGUUUGAUCCUGGCUCAGAAUGAACGCUGGCGGCGUGCUUAACACAUGCAAGUCGCACGAGAACUCUUCUGCUUGCAGAAGAUAGUAAAGUGGCGCACGGGUUGGGUAAUCUACCUCAGAAUUGGGGAUAACAUUGUGAAAGCGAUGCUAAUACCGAAUAAUAUCUCGAGAACUUAGGCUUUUGGGAUCAAAGGUGGCCUCUACAUGUAAGCUACUGUUUUGAGAUGAGCCCGCGUACCAUUAGCUUGUUGGUAGGGUAAUGGCCUACCAAGGCAACGAUGGUUAGCUGGUCUGAGAGGAUGAUCAGCCACACUGGAACUGACACACGGUCCAGA